GGGGACGUUUUUGGAUUCGACGGGGGUAGUUCGAGCAUGAGUAGCGGGUAGUGGGGAGCGUCCGCUUCAUCAACGCUAACGCCUAUUAAAUGGCAAACAACAACAAAACUACGCUUUCGCAGCUUAAUAACCUGUGAGCGUGCUUCUGCUUAGCAUCGCCCAUGUGCUAGGAUAGGGGCUCAACCUUAGUGGGAUACGCCGUUUGGUCUCCGCCUGGGGUCAAACGGAAGAAGACAAUCAGGCUGACCCAACGCGUAGCCGGUUACGGGGCGACGCUCGGGUGACAUCAAAACUGUGACUACACCCGUAGAAGCUUAUGUGGCGUUAUCUUCGGACAGGGGUUCGACUCCCCUCGUCUCCAUUU
Molecule: transfer-messenger RNA, 364 nt
Filed under: Paenibacillus thalictri
Lineage: Bacteria; Bacillati; Bacillota; Bacilli; Caryophanales; Paenibacillaceae
Also listed under: 1 other name
Rfam family: transfer-messenger RNA
About the family: Bacterial tmRNA, also known as 10Sa RNA or SsrA, is named for its dual tRNA and mRNA-like properties.
Source: Rfam by way of RNAcentral